AACGAACGCUGGCGGCAUGCCUAACACAUGCAAGUCGAACGAAACCUUCGUGCCUAGUUGCGCAGCUCUAGGGAAGACCGGGGAAGCUGCCCUUAGGUUCGCUAUAACUCCCCGUGGGAGAUGUUAAUACCGGUGAAUCUCUUAGGGCCUAGGAGCUAUCGCCGUUGGCUGGGCCCGCGUUGGUUUCGCUAGUUGGUAGUGUACAAGCAGACCAAGGCGACGAUGCUGAGCUGGUCUGAGAGGAUGAUCAGCUACAAUGGGACUGAGACCCGGCCCAGACCGCUACGGAAGGGAGGAGUAGGGAAUAUUGGGCAAUGAGCGCAAGCCUGAUCAAGCCAUGCCGCGUGAGUGGUGAAGGGCUUAGUGUUGUAAAGCCCUUUUACCCGGGACGAUAAUGACAGUACCGGGAGAAUAAGCACCGGCUAACUACGUG
RNAcentral lists this ribosomal RNA (433 nucleotides) under uncultured bacterium. Its description in RNAcentral is "partial 16S ribosomal RNA". It matches the Rfam family "Bacterial small subunit ribosomal RNA", at positions 29 to 507 of the family's 1533-position model. The record is from RNAcentral.